RNAcentral lists this ribosomal RNA (465 nucleotides) under uncultured bacterium. RNAcentral describes it as "bacterial SSU rRNA". It matches the Rfam family "Bacterial small subunit ribosomal RNA", at positions 917 to 1382 of the family's 1533-position model. The record is from RNAcentral.
GGGCCCGCACAAGCGGAGGAACAUGUGGUUUAAUUCGAUGAUACGCGAGGAACCUUACCCGGGCUAGAACGCCGUCCGACGGUGGCCGAAAGGUCACCUCCCUUCGGGGCGGGCGGCGAGGUGCUGCAUGGUUGUCGUCAGCUCGUGCCGUGAGGUGUCGGGUUAAGUCCCAUAACGAGCGCAACCCCUACUGCCAGUUGCCAGCGCGUAAAGGCGGGGACUCUGGCGGAACUGCCGGCGUAAGCCGCGAGGAAGGCGGGGAUGACGUCAAAUCAGCACGGCCCUUACGUCCGGGGCUACACACGUGUUACAAUGGCCGGUACAGAGGGCAGCCACCCCGCGAGGGGGCGCGAAUCUCCAAAGCCGGUCCCAGUUCGGAUCGGAGUCUGCAACCCGACUCCGUGAAGUUGGAUUCGCUAGUAAUCGCGCAUCAGCAACGGCGCGGUGAAUACGUUCCCGGGCCUU